GCGGCUACUGCUAUCAGGUUUCGACUAAGCCAUGCGAGUCAAGGGGUCGUAAGACACCGGCGUACUGCUCAGUAACACGCGGACAAUCUACCCCCAGGUGGAGGAUAACCUCGGGAAACUGAGGCUAAUACCCCAUAGUUGUCAUGUGCUGGAAUGCUUUGACGAUGAAAGAAUUUCGCCUGAGGAUGAGUCUGCGGCCUAUCAGGUAGUAUGUGGUGUAAAGGACCACAUAGCCUAAGACGGGUACGGGCCUUGAAAGAGGGAGCCCGGAGAUGGACUCUGAGACACUAGUCCAGGCCCUACGGGGCGCAGCAGGCGCGAAAACUGUGCAAUGCGCGCAAGCGCGACACGGGAAGCCUGAGUGCCUUAACUAUGUUAAGGCUUUUCUUGAUCCUAAAAAGCUCAAGGAAUAAGAGCUGGGUAGGACGGGUGCCAGCCGCCGCGGUAACACCCGCGGCUCGAGUGGUAGUCACUUUUAUUGAGCCUAAAGCGUUUGUAGCCGGAUUUGUAAAUCUCUAGGAAAAUACUUCUGCUUAACUGAAGAAAUUUUGGAGAGACUGCAAAUCUAGGGACCGGGUGAGGUUGAAUGUACUUCUGGGGUAGGGGUAAAAUCCUGUAAUCCUGGAAGGACGACCGGUGGCGAAGGCGUUCAACUAGAACGGAUCCGACGGUGAGGAACGAAGGCUAGGGGAGCAAACCGGAUUAGAUACCCGGGUAGUCCUAGCUGUAAACACUGCCCACUUGGUGUUGCAUCUCCGGUAAGGGGGUGCAGUGCCGUAGCGAAGGUGUUAAGUGGGCCGCUUGGGGAGUAUGGUCGCAAGGCUGAAACUUAA
RNAcentral lists this ribosomal RNA (833 nucleotides) under archaeon enrichment culture. RNAcentral describes it as "bacterial SSU rRNA". It matches the Rfam family "Archaeal small subunit ribosomal RNA", at positions 20 to 859 of the family's 1478-position model. The record is from RNAcentral.